This is a long non-coding RNA of Papaver somniferum (opium poppy), 586 nucleotides long. RefSeq lists it as uncharacterized. Lineage: Eukaryota; Viridiplantae; Streptophyta; Magnoliopsida; Ranunculales; Papaveraceae. The record is from RefSeq and is a predicted model, not a curated record. The transcript is spliced from 6 exons.
GUAUACAAGGAGAGCUGAAAUACGAGGAGAAUAGAAUGAGAACUGCAGACGAGUUCUUAUUACAUGACAGUUAACAUCAAGGAGAAUACAAGGAGGUGGGAAUACUAGAAAUGCUUGUGCUGCUCGCUUGGCCUGUCUCUAUGGAACUUGGUGGUAAAAGUCCAAUUGUAAUUUUUGAAGAUACAGAUCUUGAUAAAGCUUCCGAGUGGAAUAUUUUUGGUUGCUUUUGGAAAAAUGGCCAUGUUGGUUUAGGAUAAGCAGAAUCAUUAUCAUGGUUAAUGUUAUAUUCUGGUUUCAGAGUGAUGUAGCAGCAUCUGAAGCAAAUAAGGAAAGUGAUGAUCCAAAAAUAAGGAGGAGAAGGAAGUCGAGGCCAAGAAAUACGGUGACGACAAGUUGUCUUAUAUAUUAGCCAACCCAAAGUAAGCCACACUGUUCCAUAAUAAAUAUCUUGCAAGGGAAGAUACGUAUGAACCUCUCUUAAGGAACGACGUUCUUUGUCGUAUGUGAACCAGGGACACAACACAUGGAUGCUCUGCCUGAUAUCAUUUAUGAAGUAUUGGCUAAGUUCAUCGUCAUCGGAGGAGCU